CUUCCAGGUUUGUCUCGGGAAGUCUGAACGAGGAGUAGCUAUCUGGAAUGGAUACAAGAGCAGAGGAGAGACUGCCCAGGGACUGCAUCUGAAAUUGAAUGCUUCAAACAAGAGUUCACUGACAGGAGGAGGUCAUUGAAUUAUUAUCCGUACAGGUACCACAAUCAUGGCACCAAUCAGCACAGAUCUAGCAGGCUGGGCGGUCACAGAGCAACCAGAGGCUGCAUUUCUUUCCAUAGUCGUCCUCUUCAUCGUUAGCAUCGCACUCCUCGUUCUCUGUGCAAGCUGUAAAAAACAUUCAUUUGAGUUAGACAGCCACAGCACACCCGAGCAACAGAAAGCAUCCACACUUGUGAGCGUGGCAAAAAUGGAUGAUUCAAGAGGUGCCAGACAAAACCCUGCUGCUAAUGACAUCACAGAAGAUGAAAUCGGUUUAGAGGCUGUGGAGGGUGACGUUGCGUACAGACCGUGGAGAAGUCACACUCUCACUCACGGUUCAAGCCUACAACCUCAAAUAAAUGGAGGGGUUGGGACCGCGACAGAGGGUUCGGUAACACUUCAAGCUCUCUGAGAAAGUGACAAAAGUGGAGUCGCUGUUGUAGGCGAAACACCACCGACUUUGAAUGCCUGCAGAGAGGUCCACCAUCUUUAUUAUGCAACCUCAAAUGCUCAAACUAAACAAACCCCUUCACUAUUUGGAGAUAAAUGGUUUCUGUAUCCUCCUGAAGCCAGGCUGAGGUCCUGCUUUGUGGCAUUGACUCCCAUAAGUGCCCAUCAAACUUUGAGACUAUAGGAACUAUAGGAGCCCCCCGAUCGGUCCCUCAGCAUUGACUGGACUGAUUCAAAGCUGAAUCCUUAUGCAAUGGUUCAGACAGUCUCAGACAAGAAUGGUCAGUGUCCCUUAGGGGAGGGAGCCUGAUCUUCUGGCCACACCUGUUUUGACAAAUAGGGAUCUCUAUUCAGGUGGCCACAGAUUAAAUGCAACAUAAACAAGAAAAUCAGGUGUCAUCUCCAUCUGAAGAGGAGGGAGAAGUGUCGGCAUCAUUACCAAAGAGACCUAAACAAAAAUGAAGGUUUUCCUUUUAAUCUUUUUCUAAUGAAGUCCAGUAUUGUGAAAUUAUUCUGUAUUCAUAUUCAUUCUUAGUAGGGGCGCAAUAUAGACUUUAUCUCUCAGAUCAACUGGUCUGUAUACGUUUAAGUUUAUGGAUUUAAAUAGCAGCAUACUAGUGAUUACUUUUAGGUUUUGAACAAAUGUAUGAAUUCCAGUGGGCAUGAAUGAUGUAAUUAAAGUAACAGAUGCUUUAGAAUUAACCCUCUUGUUCUGGUGAGAUUGACUUUAUUCUUUUAUUAAGGGAAAUAUUUGCUCC
RNAcentral lists this long non-coding RNA (1367 nucleotides) under Sinocyclocheilus anshuiensis. Its description in RNAcentral is "lncRNA (ENSSANG00000008739.1)". The record is from RNAcentral. Lineage: Eukaryota; Metazoa; Chordata; Actinopteri; Cypriniformes; Cyprinidae.